RNAcentral lists this ribosomal RNA (645 nucleotides) under uncultured bacterium. Its description in RNAcentral is "bacterial SSU rRNA". The stretch from base 1 to 507 matches the Rfam family "Bacterial small subunit ribosomal RNA", at positions 338 to 873 of the family's 1533-position model. The record is from RNAcentral.
CCUACGGGAGGCAGCAGUGGGGAAUUUUGGACAAUGGGGGAAACCCGUAGAUCCAGCCAUUCCGCGUGUGCGAUGAAGGCCUUCGGGUUGUAAAGCACUUUUGGUCAGGAAAGAAAUCGCACAGAUUAAUACUUUGUGUGGAUGACGGUACCUGCAGAAUAAGCACCGGCUAACUACGUGCCAGCAGCCGCGGUAAUACGUAGGGUGCAAGCGUUAAUCGGAAUUACUGGGCGUAAAGCGUGCGCAGGCGGUUCGGAAAGAGAGGUGUGAAAUCCCAGGGCUUAACCUUGGAACUGCACUUUUAACUCCCGAGCUAGAGUAUGUCAGAGGGGGGUGGAAUUCCGCGUGUAGCAGUGAAAUGCGUAGAUAUGCGGAGGAACACCGAUGGCGAAGGCAGCCCCCUGGGAUAAUACUGACGCUCAUGCACGAAAGCGUGGGGAGCAAACAGGAUUAGAUACCCUGGUAGUCCACGCCCUAAACGAUAUCACUAGCUGUGGGUCGGUCGUCCGUUACGUUAGUCGCAGCGUACGACGUGUAGUAGUACCGACCGUCGGGAGGUACGGCCGGCCGACGAGUUAAACGUUAAAACGGUAAAGUUAGUACGGACGUGAGACGUGCGACGGACGACGACGACGGGAGGUUAGG